RNAcentral lists this ribosomal RNA (775 nucleotides) under uncultured Neocallimastigales. RNAcentral's name for it is "partial large subunit ribosomal RNA". It matches the Rfam family "Eukaryotic large subunit ribosomal RNA", at positions 22 to 647 of the family's 3401-position model. Lineage: Eukaryota; Fungi; Neocallimastigomycota; Neocallimastigomycetes; Neocallimastigales. The record is from RNAcentral.
UACACGCAUGACACACUGCAUAUCAAUAAGCGGAGGAAAAGAAACUAACAAGGAUUCCCUUAGUAACGGCGAGUGAAGCGGGAAGAGCUCAAAUUUGAAAUCUUCAAGGUUCUACCUUGACGAAUUGUAGUUUAUAGAAGUGUUUUCUGUUAGUAGAGUGGCAAAAGUUCUUUGGAAUAGGACAUCAUAGAGGGUGAGAAUCCCGUAUUUGGUCAUUCUUUCUAGCUUUGUGAUACACUUUCAACGAGUCGGAUUGUUUGGGAAUGCAGUCCAAAAUGGGUGGUAAAUUUCAUCUAAAGCUAAAUAUUGGCGAGAGACCGAUAGCGAACAAGUACCGUGAGGGAAAGAUGAAAAGAACUUUGAAAAGAGAGUUAAACAGUACGUGAAAUUGUCAAAAGGGAAGCGUUUGACACCAGUGUUGUUUUUCCGAAAAUCAAUUACGAAUGUUUUGUUUUUAAGAAGUUAUGACUUCAUCGGCUUGCUUCUUUCUUUACGAAACUUUCUUAAUGCACUUUUCGGUUAACAAGUCAACAUCAAUUUCUUUUGUUGUAAAAGGGUACGAGGAAGGUGGCUUUCUUUUCGGAGAAAGUGUUUAUAGCCUUGUACCUCCGCAAUCGGAGAGAUUGAGGUCUGCAGCGUAGAUCCUUCGGGGUUAGAUACAUUUGCGCUAAGUUAUAGCUUUUCAUAGACAACUUGUUGACUAUGUUAAGUCUUGUAGCUUACUCGCUUAUGCUAUUUUACCUACGCUUAGGAUGUUGACGCAUGAGAUAUACGC